Molecule: long non-coding RNA, 658 nt
Filed under: Camelus dromedarius (Arabian camel)
Lineage: Eukaryota; Metazoa; Chordata; Mammalia; Artiodactyla; Camelidae
Description: lncRNA (ENSCDRG00005002737.1)
Source: RNAcentral
GCCCCGGGCGCGCCGCCAGUCGGCCUAGAGUCCCCGGCGCGCACUUAUCGCUCUAGAUAUCUUGGCGCUUCCGAGUCCCCAGGGACUGGGCCGUGGUGGGAGAGGGAAAAGCACUGGACUAGCGGCGAGGACGCUCCUCGGUGAGGCGGAGGAAGGCCGGCCUUGAGAUGUAAAGGGCGCUGACAUAUUUGGGCGUCUCUUACAGUGUCUCUCCUGGCUUCGGAGCCUCGCCUUCCGCCGACGGGGUUUGCCUGGCUGUGGAGGGAGGGAUGUGGGCCGAGUGGAUGGCCUGGCCUCUCCGGUGUGACAGGUCCGUCACCACCCACCCGUCCCCGGGGCCCGGCGGCCUUUAGCCUUCGGUGCGUGGUCGGGCUUGGCGGCUCCAGGGCUGGGAGUUACAGUCCUUCCCUUCCGUGAGGGCGGGAAGAGCGAAAUGGUUCUGCCCGACAGGACUGGAAUUCAUGGAUUUGCUCAAACCUCUCCCUUGCUGCAGACACUGAGCCUGCACCACCUCUUCAGCCCACCACGGACGAGGCCUGUGUGUGUCUUUCAGGUGCGUGAAGACCUCAGGAGCCAAGUUUUCCAGGUCUUCACCUGUUGUCAGUUUGCACCAGCUGCUUCUCUCCACCUAACUCUGGGGUCCUUCCUGGGAAGUUAG